Long non-coding RNA from Medicago truncatula (barrel medic), 754 nucleotides. RefSeq lists it as uncharacterized. The record is from RefSeq and is a predicted model, not a curated record. NCBI's taxonomy places the organism in Eukaryota, Viridiplantae, Streptophyta, Magnoliopsida, Fabales, Fabaceae. The transcript is spliced from 3 exons.
CUAAAACUUUUCAUCAAUUUUAAGUAAAAUCAUGUUUAUGCUUCGAAAUUAUAAAUUAACUUCUACAGUUAUUUUUGAGCUUUCGAUUUCUUCUUCCAGCAACAAACCAACCCCUUUCGUUUCCUGUUGUUGUUGUUUCAGGGAAGCACCCACCAAGCCCAAUGCUGAACCUACCCAAAGAUCCCAACAUCUUAUACAGGGUGUUGAUUGCAUUCGUCAAAAGUUUUGGAUCAAAAGCUCGCUGUUUGGGGAAAAUACUCUCUUCAUCACUGUUUUUCUCUUCCUCGAGGUUUUCAUUUGCCAAACACUGUUGAACUCCAUAGUUCUAUGUUGAAAUUUGAAGAUCAUCAAGAAAUUUGAAGAUCUUCCAAGUUGAACUCCAUAGUUCUGCAACACCAACGUGAGCUUGUAUAUAUUUUUUAUCAACCCAGUUGAACCUGCAACAUGACUUCUGCUUGCUAUACCUGAGCUAAUAUUUCCCUUAACAUGUGCUAACAUUUUUAAUCAAAUGUAUAUACCUUUUUAUUGAUUCUUGAUUUGUUGGUAAUGAUGUAUAAAAUUAACUUUACUGGUGUUUUUGCAAGUCAUACAGGGUUACGGGUUUCAAAUGUUAGUAUUUAGUUUUUGCCUUUAGAAAGUAAAGGUUCACUUGGUCAAACAUCUUAUGUCAUUUGAAGUUAGAUGUUACUUAUUUGUGGCCUUUUAAGGCCUCUGCCAUUUACUUAACGUAGAUCUCAUACCUACUCAAGUGUUA